Molecule: ribosomal RNA, 482 nt
Filed under: Penicillium sp. MX341
Lineage: Eukaryota; Fungi; Ascomycota; Eurotiomycetes; Eurotiales; Aspergillaceae
Description: eukaryotic LSU rRNA
Rfam family: 5.8S ribosomal RNA (bases 129-282)
Source: RNAcentral
CCCUCGGGGCCCAACCUCCCACCCGUGUUGCCCGAACCUAUGUUGCCUCGGCGGGCCCCGCGCCCGCCGACGGCCCCCCUGAACGGUGUCUGAAGUUGCAGUCUGAGACCUAUAACGAAAUUAUUUAAAACUUUCAACAACGGAUCUCUUGGUUCCGGCAUCGAUGAAGAACGCAGCGAAAUGCGAUAACUAAUGUGAAUUGCAGAAUUCAGUGAAUCAUCGAGUCUUUGAACGCACAUUGCGCCCUCUGGUAUUCCGGAGGGCAUGCCUGUCCGAGCGUCAUUGCUGCCCUCAAGCCCGGCUUGUGUGUUGGGCCCCGUCCCCCCCGCCGGGGGGACGGGCCCGAAAGGGAGCGGCGGCACCGCGUCCGGUCCUCGAGCGUAUGGGGCUUCGUCACCCGCUCUAGUAGGGCCGGCCGGCGCCAGCCGACCCCCAACCUUUAAUUAUCUCAGGUUGACCUCGGAUCAGGGAGGGAUACCCGC